CGGGGGGCUCCAGCAGUGGGGAAUAUUGCACAAUGGAGGAAACUCUGAUGCAGCAACGCCGCGUGGAGGAUGACACUUUUCGGAGCGUAAACUCCUUUUAUAUAGGAAGAAGAUGACGGUACUAUAUGAAUAAGCGCCGGCUAACUCCGUGCCAGCAGCCGCGGUAAUACGGAGGGCGCAAGCGUUACUCGGAAUCACUGGGCGUAAAGAGCGUGUAGGCGGAUUAAAAAGUCAGAAGUGAAAUCCUAUAGCUUAACUAUAGAACUGCUUCUGAAACUCUUAAUCUAGAAUAUGGGAGAGGUAGAUGGAAUUUCUGGUGUAGGGGUAAAAUCCGUAGAGAUCAGAAGGAAUACCGAUUGCGAAGGCGAUCUACUAGAACAUUAUUGACGCUGAGACGCGAAAGCGUGGGGAGCAAACAGGAUUAGAUACCCGUGUAGUC
RNAcentral lists this ribosomal RNA (439 nucleotides) under uncultured bacterium. RNAcentral describes it as "partial 16S ribosomal RNA". It matches the Rfam family "Bacterial small subunit ribosomal RNA", at positions 342 to 795 of the family's 1533-position model. The record is from RNAcentral.